Molecule: ribosomal RNA, 253 nt
Filed under: uncultured bacterium
Lineage: Bacteria
Description: partial 16S ribosomal RNA
Rfam family: Bacterial small subunit ribosomal RNA
Source: RNAcentral
UACGUAGGGUGCGAGCGUUGUCCGGAAUUAUUGGGCGUAAAGAGCUUGUAGGCGGUCUGUCGCGUCUGCCGUGAAAUUUCGGGGCUCAACCCCGAACUUGCGGUGGGUACGGGCAGACUAGAGUGUGGUAGGGGAGACUGGAAUUCCUGGUGUAGCGGUGAAAUGCGCAGAUAUCAGGAGGAACACCGGUGGCGAAGGCGGGUCUCUGGGCCGUUACUGACGCUGAGGAGCGAAAGCGUGGGGAGCGAACAGG